AUGUCUUGCUGCGGCGGCAACUGCGGGUGCGGCGCCGGCUGCAAGUGCGGCAACGGCUGCGGCGGGUGCAAGAUGUUCCCCGACGUGGAGGCCACCGCCGGCGCCGCCGCCAUGGUCAUGCCCACCGCCUCCCACAAGGGGAGCUCCGGCGGGUUCGAGACGGCCGGGGAGACCGGCGGCUGCGACUGCACCACCUGCAAGUGCGGCACCGCGUGCGGCUGCUCCUGCUGCAGCUGCAACUGA
RNAcentral lists this ribosomal RNA (243 nucleotides) under Triticum aestivum (bread wheat). Its description in RNAcentral is "partial small subunit ribosomal RNA". The record is from RNAcentral. Lineage: Eukaryota; Viridiplantae; Streptophyta; Magnoliopsida; Poales; Poaceae.